Caerostris darwini is the source of this 105-nucleotide non-coding RNA. NCBI's taxonomy places the organism in Eukaryota, Metazoa, Arthropoda, Arachnida, Araneae, Araneidae. The record is from the annotation of a GenBank genome assembly.
UGCGGCCAUACCAUGGUGAAUAUACCGGUUCUUGUUCGAUCACCGAAGUCAAGCAGCGCGGUCAGUACUUGGGUGGGUGACCACCUGGGAACACCGCGUGCCGUU